RNAcentral lists this long non-coding RNA (815 nucleotides) under Cricetulus griseus (Chinese hamster). RNAcentral describes it as "lncRNA (ENSCGRG00015035549.1)". Lineage: Eukaryota; Metazoa; Chordata; Mammalia; Rodentia; Cricetidae. The record is from RNAcentral.
AAUCAGACCAAGGCGGUUCCUUUGUGCUAUUCAAAUACCGAACGGACCCCGGGCCUCCAACGCCGCUGCUGCCUCGAAUGUUCUCCUGGGGCCGCGGCACCGCGUGGGACUCGGAGCUUCCUAGGUAGCCGCCCACAGCGUCGGUCGUCUCUCGGGAACCACGUUGAGGACUGCGGCUACCCUGGACCUGGCUCCCGCGAGCUGGGGGUCGGCUCACCUGAGCGCCGCGGAGAUGGCUCCGCCCCCUUCCGCACCGUUGGGCCUCACCUGCAGCAGGUGCGCGCGGUUCCCCGCUCCGGGCCACGCGGCGCCUCCUCUUUCUCACCUGCUAAGGCCAGGGGAAUCUGGGAGAGGGAGUCCAGGGGUCGAGUGACUCCUCACCUGGACCCACUGAUACCUGAGUGGCUGCAGCAUGGAGAUACUCCAGUGCUAUUGCCCCUCCAUCUACUGCUGGAACACUCCAGAAAGGAGUCACCUGUCCAGGCCACAUGGCUGGGAGAUCUUUCCUGAUCAUCUUGCUGCUUUUCCAGCAGGGGAGGAAGUGAGUUCUCAGGCUGGUCUGGAACUCACAGAGAUCCUCCUGCUUCUGCCUCCGGAGUGCUGGGAUUAAACGCGUGCGCCACCAAGGCCCAGUAAUGAACUGAUUACUUAUGGGGUACCUAUGACAUGUCUGCUGUCACCUGGUGACUCUGGGAAAAGCUGCUUUGUGUCAAGUGACUGGUCAUGUGAUGCCACGCAGUGCCUCCUCUGCAGUCUCUCAUGCAAGCCCUCCAACACUGUCAUCACUGCGCUAGAAGCUUCUGGAACCUUUCUUG